CCUACGGGAGGCUGCAGUGGGGAAUAUUGCACAAUGGACGAGAGUCUGAACCAGCCAAGUAGCGUGAAGGAUGACUGCCCUAUGGGUUGUAAACUUCUUUUAUAUGGGAAUAAAACGUUCCACGUGUGGGAUUUUGUAUGUACCAUAUGAAUAAGGAUCGGCUAACUCCGUGCCAGCAGCCGCGGUAAUACGGAGGAUCCGAGCGUUAUCCGGAUUUAUUGGGUUUAAAGGGAGCGUAGGUGGAUGGUUAAGUCAGUUGUGAAAGUUUGCGGCUCAACCGUAAAAUUGCAGUUGAAACUGGCAGUCUUGAGUACAGUAGAGGUGGGCGGAAUUCGUGGUGUAGCGGUGAAAUGCUUAGAUAUCACGAAGAACUCCGAUUGCGAAGGCAGUUCACUGGACUGCAACUGACACUGAGGCUCGAAAGUGUGGGUAUCAAACAGGAUUAGAUACCCUUGUAGUC
This 460-nucleotide ribosomal RNA is filed under the name uncultured bacterium. RNAcentral's name for it is "partial 16S ribosomal RNA". It matches the Rfam family "Bacterial small subunit ribosomal RNA", at positions 338 to 795 of the family's 1533-position model. The record is from RNAcentral.